AUUGAACGCUGGCGGCAUGCCUUACACAUGCAAGUCGAACGGUAACAGGUCUUCGGAUGCUGACGAGUGGCGGACGGGUGAGUAAUACAUCGGAACGUGCCUAGUAGUGGGGGAUAACUACUCGAAAGAGUGGCUAAUACCGCAUGAGAUCUACGGAUGAAAGCAGGGGAUCGCAAGACCUUGUGCUACUAGAGCGGCCGAUGGCAGAUUAGGUAGUUGGUGGGAUAAAAGCUUACCAAGCCGACGAUCUGUAGCUGGUCUGAGAGGACGAUCAGCCACACUGGGACUGAGAAACGGCCCAGACUCCUACGGGAGGCAGCAGUGGGGAAUUUUGGACAAUGGGCGCAAGCCUGAUUCAGCAAUGCCGUGUGCAGGAUGAAGGCCUUCGGGUUGUAAACUGCUUUUGUACGGAACGAAAAGCCCCGGGUUAAUACCCUGGGGUCAUGACGGUACCGUAAGAAUAAGCACCGGCUAACUACGUGCCAGCCGCCGCCGUAA
RNAcentral lists this ribosomal RNA (498 nucleotides) under uncultured bacterium. RNAcentral's name for it is "partial 16S ribosomal RNA". It matches the Rfam family "Bacterial small subunit ribosomal RNA", at positions 30 to 523 of the family's 1533-position model. The record is from RNAcentral.